Molecule: ribosomal RNA, 494 nt
Filed under: uncultured bacterium
Lineage: Bacteria
Description: partial 16S ribosomal RNA
Rfam family: Bacterial small subunit ribosomal RNA
Source: RNAcentral
GACGAACGCUGGCGGCGUGCUUAACACAUGCAAGUCGAACGGAAAGGCCUGCUUUCCCUUGUGGGUUGCGGGUACUCGAGUGGCGAACGGGUGAGUAACACGUGAGUGAUCUGCCCCCAACUUGGGUAUAAGCCUGGGAAACUGGGUCUAAUUCCCGAUAGGACUGCAGGGUGGUGCCUGUGGUGGAAAACGAUGUUCUAGUGGUUGGGGAUGAGCUCGCGGCCUAUCAGCUUGUUGGUGGGGUAAUGGCCUACCAUGGCGGCGACGGGGAGCCGGCCUGAGAGGGUGGACGGCCACAUUGGGACGGCGAUACGGCCCUGACUCCUACGGGAGGCAGCAGUGGGGAGUAUUGCACGGGGAGCGGAAGCCUGAGGCAGCGACGCGGCGUGGGGGAUGCCGGCCUUCGGUGUGUAACCUCCUGUCGACAGCGAGGAAGCCACCUGGUUGGACGGGUGGUGACGGUAGUGGUAGAAGAAGCACCGGCUAACUACGUG